This 252-nucleotide ribosomal RNA is filed under the name uncultured bacterium. RNAcentral's name for it is "partial 16S ribosomal RNA". It matches the Rfam family "Bacterial small subunit ribosomal RNA", at positions 524 to 776 of the family's 1533-position model. The record is from RNAcentral.
UACGUAGGUCCCGAGCGUUGUCCGGAUUUAUUGGGCGUAAAGCGAGCGCAGGUGGUUUAUUAAGUCUGGUGUAAAAGGCAGUGGCUCAACCAUUGUAUGCAUUGGAAACUGGUAAACUUAAGUGCAGGAGAGGAGAGUGGAAUUCCAUGUGUAGCGGUGAAAUGCGUAGAUAUAUGGAGGAACACCGGUGGCGAAAGCGGCUCUCUGGCCUGUAACUGACACUGAGGCUCGAAAGCGUGGGGAGCAAACAGG